Peromyscus maniculatus bairdii (prairie deer mouse) is the source of this 666-nucleotide non-coding RNA. NCBI's taxonomy places the organism in Eukaryota, Metazoa, Chordata, Mammalia, Rodentia, Cricetidae. The record is from RefSeq and is a predicted model, not a curated record.
UCUGGAAGAGCAGAAGUGCUGUUAACUGAUGAGCCAUCUCACGAGCCCCUAAGGAGAAAGGAAACCAGUUCACCUUGUAACUCCGUGGUUGUUCCCAGACACAAGACAGCCAGGCUGUAGCUGUAUCAAGGAAGAUCCUCAAACAAAAAGCCUGAAACUACAUCCCUGUGCCCUCUGGGAUCAGUGAGAAACCUUUCCUACAUACUUCUGCCACCACGAUGUUCCUUACUCUGGACCCAGAAUCCACUGAGCCAACAACCACGAUGUUCCUUACUCUGGACCCAGAAUCCACUGAGCCAACAACCACAAUGUUCCUUACUCUGGACCCAGAAUCCACUGAGCCAACAACCAUGGACGGAGAUAUCUAAAGUGUAACCUAGAUAAGUAAUUCUUCCCAUUAAAUUGUUUUGACCAAGUACUUUUCACAGUGAUGUGAAGUCUGACUAAUACAGUAACAUAAGAAGUCUAAUAAUUAAAAUCGAGAAAAUAUUUUAGAAAUAGAGGGAGAAAAACAUAUCCCAAAAUAUGGCAGGAGAGAAAGAAAUUCACAAGAUCAACUCAAGGGACUGAAUCAGUUGAAAUUACAAGGGGAUUAGAGAAAAUAAGGGAGAAAUCAUCAGAGAACUUUCUAGAACUGAAGGACAUGUUUUUAGUUUUCAUGCCCAU